AAAACUAUACUUUUAGGAAUCAUUUCUAUAGUUCCUUACUAGAGAAGUUUCUCAGUGGAGCGUACCAGAGACCACAAGGAGGAGGUGCAGUGUUCUCUCCUGAACAUGAAGCCGGCCCUGGGUGGUGUUUUGUGCAACUGCUUAUUGCCAUUGAUGAUGGAAAAAACAAAAGACAAAGGAAAAGAAAACAAGGA
Molecule: small nucleolar RNA, 194 nt
Filed under: Jaculus jaculus (lesser Egyptian jerboa)
Lineage: Eukaryota; Metazoa; Chordata; Mammalia; Rodentia; Dipodidae
Description: Small nucleolar RNA U3 (ENSJJAG00000002685.1)
Rfam family: Small nucleolar RNA U3
About the family: Small nucleolar RNAs (snoRNAs) are involved in the processing and modification of rRNA in the nucleolus. There are two main classes of snoRNAs: the box C/D class, and the box H/ACA class.
Source: RNAcentral